UUCCGAAUGUUUAGUCGGAAUCUCCUUUCUUGCAGCUUGAAGACAUUGGUUCGAGUCCUACCCUCCAGAGAAAAUAAACAUGCUUCCUCCUCCAUGUGACAGUCCUUUAGAUAUUUGAAGAUGGCAAUCACAUCUCCUCUCAGUCUCCUCUUUUCCAGGCUAAACAUACCCAGCUCCUUCAAGC
This is a non-coding RNA of Podarcis lilfordi (Lilford's wall lizard), 184 nucleotides long. The record is from the annotation of a GenBank genome assembly. NCBI's taxonomy places the organism in Eukaryota, Metazoa, Chordata, Lepidosauria, Squamata, Lacertidae.